UACGUAGGGUCCGAGCGUUGUCCGGAAUUACUGGGCGUAAAGAGCUCGUAGGUGGUUUGUCGCGUUGUUCGUGAAAACUCACAGCUUAACUGUGGGCGUGCGGGCGAUACGGGCAGACUUGAGUACUGCAGGGGAGACUGGAAUUCCUGGUGUAGCGGUGGAAUGCGCAGAUAUCAGGAGGAACACCGGUGGCGAAGGCAGCCCCCUGGGCUAGCACUGACGCUGAGACACGAAAGCGUGGGUAGCAAACAGG
RNAcentral lists this ribosomal RNA (253 nucleotides) under uncultured bacterium. Its description in RNAcentral is "partial 16S ribosomal RNA". It matches the Rfam family "Bacterial small subunit ribosomal RNA", at positions 524 to 776 of the family's 1533-position model. The record is from RNAcentral.